UAGAGUUUGAUCCUGGCUCAGGACGAACGCUGGAGGCGUGCUUAACACAUGCAAGUCGAACGAUGAAGUGGAGCUUGCUCCACGGAUUAGUGGCGGACGGGUGCGUAACACGUGAGCAACCUACCCUGAAGUGGGGGAUAGCUCGCCGAAAGGCGAAUUAAUACCGCAUGUGGCCAAGGAAGACAUCUUCCUGACGCCAAAGCCGGGGCAACCUGGCGCUUCUUGAUGGGCUCGCGGCCUAUCAGCUUGUUGGUGAGGUAACGGCUCACCAAGGCUAUGACGGGUAGCUGGUCUGAGAGGACGACCAGCCACACUGGAACUGAGACACGGUCCAGACACCUACGGGUGGCAGCAGUCGAGAAUUUUUCACAAUGGGGGAAACCCUGAUGGAGCGACGCCGCGUGGAGGAUGAAGGUUUUCGGAUUGUAAACUCCUGUCAUUAGAGAACAAGGCACACGGUUUAACUGGCCGUGUGUUGAUAGUAUCUGAAGAGGAAGAGACGGCUAACCCUGUGCCAGCAGCCGCGGUAAUACAGAGGUCCCAAGCGUUGUUCGGAAUCACUGGGCGUAAAGGGUGCGUAGGCGGCGUGGCAAGUCAGAUGUGAAAUACCGGGGCUCAACCCCGGAACGGCAUCCGAUACUGCCAUGCUGGAGUAGUGGAGAGGAGUCUGGAAUUCACGGUGUAGCAGUGAAAUGCGUAGAUAUCGUGAGGAACACUAGUGGCGAAGGCGAGAUGCUGGACACUUACUGACGCUGAGGCACGAAGGCCAGGGUAGCGAAAGGGAUUAGAUACCCGCGUAGUCCUAGCAGUAAACGGUGCGCGUUUGGUGUGGGAGGAUUCGACCCCUUCCGUGCCGGAGCUAACGCGUUAAACGUGCCGCCUGGGGAGUACGGUCGCAAGACUAAAACUCAAAGAAAUUGACGGGGACCCGCACAAGCGGUGGAGUAUGUGGCUUAAUUCGAUGCAACGCGAAGAACCUUACCUGGGCUUGACAUGCAUCCCUAAACGGGUGAAAGGUAGGCUGCCCUUCGCGUUGAAACUUGCACAGGUGUUGCAUGGCUGUCGUCAGCUCGUGCUGUGAAGUGUCGGGUUAAGUCCCUUAACGAGCGAAACCCCUAUCGUUAGUUGCCAGCGAGUAAUGUCGGGGACUCUAGCGAGACUGCCGGCGUCAAGCCGGAGGAAGGUGGGGACGACGUCAAGUCAUCAUGGCCCUUAUGCCCGGGGUUGCACACGUGCUACAAUGGCGCGCACAGAGGGAAGCAAGACCGCGAGGUGGAGCAAACCCCAAAAACGCGCCCCAGUUCGGAUUGGAGUCUGAAAUUCGACUCCAUGAAGUUGGAAUCGCUAGUAAUCGCGUAUCAGCUACGACGCGGUGAAUAUGUUCCUGAGCCUUGUACACACCGCCCGUCAAGUCAUGGAAGCUGGUAGCACCCGAAGUCCGUUUAGCUAACCCGCAAGGGAUGCGACGGCCGACGGUGAGACUGGUGACGUAACAAGGUAACCGUA
This 1506-nucleotide ribosomal RNA is filed under the name uncultured prokaryote. RNAcentral's name for it is "partial 16S ribosomal RNA". It matches the Rfam family "Bacterial small subunit ribosomal RNA". The record is from RNAcentral.